Chinchilla lanigera (long-tailed chinchilla) is the source of this 3689-nucleotide long non-coding RNA. RefSeq lists it as uncharacterized. The transcript has 3 exons. The record is from RefSeq and is a predicted model, not a curated record. NCBI's taxonomy places the organism in Eukaryota, Metazoa, Chordata, Mammalia, Rodentia, Chinchillidae.
CAGGCAAUUUCCUGAAGACCUGUCUAAAGCUGAUUUGCUAACCUGAAGAGAGAUGUCUGCAGGCUCUUUAUCUCUCUGUCUUUGGAGUUCUUGGCUUGUUUUUGUAGCAAUACCAUUGCUACUGCCACCAAUGUACCUUGUGCUAGGCACCGAGGGACUGUUUUAUUCACUUACUGGAUUUGCCCUGCUCUUGUGUGAACAGGUGCGAUUGCAGCUUCCUCCUAUAGACUUAAAACCUAAGCCUUGAAGAGGUGAAGGAACUUGCCCAGCAGGAAAUAGUGAAGCUGUUUUUUUUUUUUAACCUCGGCUCACUGACGCCAGAGCUGCCUUUUACCGACUGCAGAAAAUCAAGAGCAAAGCCUCAGGAGACAGGAGCUAAUGGAAGAGGCAGAGCUAUUAGAAGCUGAGAAUAUCCCUUCUCCUUCUCCUUCUCCACUCCUCCUCCCUCUUGUGGCUGGCAUUCGUUGAACAUUGAACAAAUAUGAAUAUUCAACAUACGAUAGGCACUUCGUUCAUUCUUGUCAACGUGUUUAGUUUCCACCGCCAACAGGAAACAAGGCACUUACCUACUCCACCAGUCAAGAAGAGGCUGAGGAGGAAGCCUAGAAAGCAGCGCUUAAGCAUCAUGGUCACAAGUGCAACUGGCCAGGCAACUGGAGCUCCUUUCAAGCUCAUCCCAGAAGAGGGAACUAUGAAAUAUGCAAGACCCUGUUCUCCUGUGGUUUAGAAAGGAGCUGGACAUCUUCAAACAUUUCAUCUUGAAUUCCAAAUUGAACACCAGACCUAUGGAAAACCGUACGCUUGUAUGGAUGGACCUGCAGUCCCAGCAAUAGGGAUGCUACUUGUCCCUUCUUAUUGGUGAGGAGCUCUUUACUUUCCUGAAGAAGGACCAUGACCUUUCAGCAGUUCUACAUUUUGGAAAUAAUUGGCUUGCAAUUCAAAAUAGUUUGUGGACUCUAAUUCAGAAAAGAAGGAACUUUGUUAUUCAGACAUGGGCAAUAAGCAUAAUAACUGGUCUUUUAAUUUUGUUAAAUUUGUGGACCACGAACACUUUUAGUUGGACCAUCCCUGAUCCAAAAGUGUGAAAUAUGAAAUGUUCCAAAAUCUGAAACUUCUUUAGCACAGACAUGAUACUACAAGUAGAAAUUUCCACACCCAACAUCAUGCGAUGGGUCACACAGGUGUGCUACACAUACUGUGAUAAAAUUACACUUUCAGGCUAUGUAUAUAACGUAUAUAUGAAACAUAAUGGAUUUCAUGUUUAGACUCUGGUCCUAGCCCAAAGAUAUCUCAUUAUGUAUAUGCUCAUGUUCCAAAAUCUGAAACUGUUCUGCUCCCAAGCAUUUCAGAAAAGGGAUACUCAACUUGCAUUUAAAAAUCUCCAUUUGCAAGACCUAGAGCUUCACUAAGUUAACCUUUCUUGAUCUUUGCUCAUACUGUUUUUUUGAAUGAAAGAGGCUACAGAUUUUGAUUGUUCCUGACCAAGGUGCUUCGCUGACCCUGAAAACCCUAUGGAUGUCGUGGGUCCCGAGGCCCACACACAGGCCAUGAUCAUGUGUCUUGAGGCCCAGGGGAGACCUUCAGAGAAGAACCACAGUCUGACCAGCUGUCACUUCCUCCAUUGUAGUCACUUGGGUCUCGGCUACCGUGAUCUCCUGCUUGGCUUGUGGCCACAGCCUCCUGACUGGUCUCCCUGUCUCUGCCACUGGCCUUCGCCACAGGCAGAACGUUCCCUUUAAAUGUGAAAUUAGAUAAUUUUCUCAGAACCUUUGCAUGUCUUCCCACUUCACUCAGAAUGAAAGUCAAAAUGUUAUGGUCUCUUGCUGGGCCCUGUUACACUCCUAACCUGCAUCGCUCCAGCCUGGGUGGCCUUUUGCACAUUUCUUGAAUAUCCCAGGCCUGUACCACACCAGCACGGUGCCCUCUGCUUGAAUGCUUUUCCUGAGAUGCCCAGGUUCCUCCUCAUGCCCUUAUCUUUAUUCAAAUAUUACCUUAGUAGUGGAUCCCCUGUGGCCACCCUAAAUAGCAGCACUUCUUCCCACCACCCAUCUGCCUUACCUGCUUUAUUGUCUCUGUAACACCAUCAUUUGAGAGGGUAUGCUUGAUUUUACUCCCACUGUCCGUGCCCUCCAUUAGAAUAUAAACUGCAGGAGGUCAGGCACCUUGCACAUUAUGUCUCUUGCUUUAGCUCCCCCAUCCCAUGUAGGGAGGAGCUUGCCACGAAGGUUGUGCUGGGCAAGUAUCCAGAGCCUCCGUGGACGGGAAUGUGGUGCUAUCCAUUAAAAAUCUCCAUUUGCAAGACCUAGAGCUUCACUAAGUUAACCUUUGCAUGCCAGACGCUGUAGAACAGGAGGGUGCUUCUCUGCUUUUCAUGAUCUGAUGGGAAUUCCAAGGGAAGGGGCUAAGAUUCUCUGGCCCAGGUCACCAGGUUCUUGCAGACAUUGAAAGCAACUUCAUGGGCAACACUGGCCUCUGCAGUUAUGUGGCUGCACAGCCAACUCUUCAGUUGGACAAUUUAAUCUGUGUGACCCAGGAAUUACCUGUUUCUGAAGAGCUGGAGAGAUUUCCCCAGGAAAUCACUUGAGUGGUCUUGUAGGUGGUGGUAGUGGGGUGCAUGGGAGAAUUUCUUUGGUAAUUUUCUCAAUUUAACUCUUCCAUGGUAAUUAGGGUUUUUUGUUUUUUUUUUUUUAGGAUUUUCUGUCUCAUCUAGAUUCACUUUCUGCAAAUUGUACUUUCUUCAUCCAUUUACAUGCGGUUACAUUUACUUGCAUAGAAUUGAGAAAUUGGUCCUUAAUCAAUUUCUCAUUUCUGUGGUUUCUCUUUUGGCUUCCUAUUUUGAAUAAUGAUAUUUUCUUCGUGUUUUAUUAUUUGUAGGAAUUAUUUUUAAAGAUGUUUUCAAGGAGCCAUGUUUUGUAAUUAUUCAUGAGUUCUAAUUUUAAAAAUUUAUGUAUCACUUUUAUCCUUUACCUUUUCACAUUCCUUCCAAUUUGUUUAAGUAAAACUCUCAUCAGAUGUUUACUUCACUUGAUUUUUUCCAAUAUGUGUUCACACUGGGAAUUUAGUCUGAAACGUACCCCACAGCUUCUCCUUUGGCUCUGAAUUGUAUUUUCACUAUUUUUUUUUUUUUUUUUAUCAAUUCUACAAUUUGGAUUCUUUUUUCUGACUCAAGCGUUUUAAGUAGAGAAUUAAAAACAAAAUUUCCAAGUGGAAGAACUAUUUAAUUUUUUAAUUUUCACUGUUGCUUUUUCAUGAUUUCCAGAGAAGCAAAAAAGGCUGAUUUAUACCACUAUUCCCAAUUUGGAAAUCUCAUCUUACUGCUUUGAUUUCUGGGAGUUGAAGACAGACAGACAGAUUAACAUCAUUUGAUUUGCUAGUUAAUUGAUAACUCAAGGACAGAGAUAAUGGAAAACAAGACAGAAAACCUAAUACAAAAACAACAAAGGUAAAGUGUCAGUCCAACAAGACGCAGUUUGCAAAUGAAAACUGAAAAUUUGCAUGAACUUCUUAGUAAGGAAAACACCUUUCGCCUUUUAAAAUAGUGACUAGAAGCCUGUUUUUAGUGUAGCACUAUGUAAUCAUUAUAAUUUAUGACAUUCUAUUUCCAGAUGACCCUGGGGUUAUUUUGGGAUGUCACUUCCCGAUGACAAAAUUAAAUAAAGCAUGACAUAUAUUUGUGUUGUUCAUGGCAA